Molecule: long non-coding RNA, 1630 nt
Filed under: Eucalyptus grandis
Lineage: Eukaryota; Viridiplantae; Streptophyta; Magnoliopsida; Myrtales; Myrtaceae
Description: long non-coding RNA (EGRA_LNC007743)
Source: RNAcentral
GGAACCAUUUAUCCUAUAAUACUUCAUAGCGACAUGGAAGCUAAAAGAUGACAACUUUAAUUUUGAAAGAGACAUGAGUUGGCUUCAUGGUGACGGUAGCCAGCUACAUUGGUGUAUUUUCGACUUGCUAUAGCGACAAUUCUUAGAAACUUCAUUCAGUCCAUAUAACAUUUUGCUUCCUUUCUGACUCUUCUAUAGAUGAAAAUCAUACUGGAAUGCCAAUGUCAGGGAUUCCAUUGCGAUCAAUAUAGCUUAGAUUGCUCUUCACCAUAUCCCUGCCGCUCUUCUCACUUGUAUUUUUCCCUGGGACACCAUGUGCCCUUUAUGUACUUUGUAUUCUGUCCAACAUGCUUUUCUUUUUCUGGCCAAUUAGCAGGAGGGUUUCUAUAGUUAAUCUUUUCAUGAUGAAGAAACUACCUGUGUGUUUAAUAAAUGAAGUACUUUCGGAUGCUUUCUCGUGUAUAUUCGCCCAUCUGGCUAAUUACUAGGGGUGUGCAUGGUCCGGGCGGGCGAUUCCCGACCUAGAACCGGGAACCGCCUGCUAAGGACCGGUUCUGAAAAAUCGGAACCGGGAUCCACCUGUCUAUUGCAUGGAUCCACUCGGGAACCGGACCGGACCGGCGGUCCGGUUCCCGAGUGGAUCCAUGGAACCGAUUUUGACGCCAAAAAUUCUGGUUUUCAACAGCGAAACAAUUUUGGUUUCCCGGACCGCUGGUCCAGAAGUUUUGAGCUCUAAAAUUCCAAGUUCCAAUCUCCAAAAACUAAACAAUAAUUAAUAGACGAAUAAUAGACUAAUGCGAAGGGACGGACAGCAGUGGCAGAGGAGCAACGGCGGCGGCGUCGAGGCUCAGGGAGGAAUCAAAGAUGAAGGGAUUGAGCGUCAGUGAGGGGGGCGGACAGCAGAGGCGGAGGAGCAGCAAUUGUGGCGACUGGCGACUGGCGCGAGGGGGCAGACAGUGGCGGAGGAGGAGCAGCGGCGGCGGCGUGGAUGCUUGGUGAGGAAUCGAAGACGAGGAGAAGAGAUUGAGGAAGAAACAGAGAGAUAAUCAAAGACUGAGGAAGAAAUCAGAAGAGAAUCAAGAGAUGAGACACGAAUUAGGGCUUCGUAUCUUGUUGAGUGACGGAAAAGGGGCUCGCCGGCUCGGUUGAGAGUUCUUGCAGAGGCGGAGGAGCAGCGGUUGUGGUGAGUGGUGACCGGCGCGAGGGGGCGGAUAGUGGCGGAGGAGGAGCAGCGGUGGUGGCGUGGAUACUCGGGGUGGAACUGUGGAAUCGAAGACGAAGAGAAGGAAAGGAACAGAGAUAAUCGAAGUCUGAAGAAGAAGAAACGCGAAUUAGGGCUUCGCGAAUUAGGGGCAGGAGGCUUCGCGACUUUUUUUUUUUUUUUAAUUAUAAAUAGUACCGGUCCGGUCCGAGUGGGCGGGCGGGCGGAUCCGCCCACGGAACCGGGAACCGGACCGGUUCCCACCGAUUCUCAACAAUUGGACCCGGGAACCGGACCGGUUCCCUCAAGAACCGCCGGUUCCGGGCGGUUUCGGUCCUGUUCCGGGUGGUCCGGGCGGUUCCCGGGUCCAAUGCACACCCCUACUAAUUACUGGGUAAAAUACCAACAAUUAGCUGUAAAGUUUUCUAU